RNAcentral lists this ribosomal RNA (699 nucleotides) under uncultured Oxalobacteraceae bacterium. RNAcentral's name for it is "bacterial SSU rRNA". It matches the Rfam family "Bacterial small subunit ribosomal RNA", at positions 28 to 720 of the family's 1533-position model. The record is from RNAcentral. Lineage: Bacteria; Pseudomonadati; Pseudomonadota; Betaproteobacteria; Burkholderiales; Oxalobacteraceae.
AUUGAACGCUGGCGGCAUGCCUUACACAUGCAAGUCGAACGGCAGCACGGGUGCUUGCACCUGGUGGCGAGUGGCGAACGGGUGAGUAAUAUAUCGGAACGUACCCUAGAGUGGGGGAUAACGCAGCGAAAGUUGCGCUAAUACCGCAUACGAUCUACGGAUGAAAGUGGGGGAUCGCAAGACCUCAUGCUCAUGGAGCGGCCGAUAUCUGAUUAGCUAGUUGGUGGGGUAAAAGCCUACCAAGGCAUCGAUCAGUAGCUGGUCUGAGAGGACGACCAGCCACACUGGAACUGAGACACGGUCCAGACUCCUACGGGAGGCAGCAGUGGGGAAUUUUGGACAAUGGGCGCAAGCCUGAUCCAGCAAUGCCGCGUGAGUGAAGAAGGCCCUCGGGUUGUAAAGCUCUUUUGUCAGGGAAGAAACGGUGAGGGCUAAUAUCCUUUGCUAAUGACGGUACCUGAAGAAUAAGCACCGGCUAACUACGUGCCAGCAGCCGCGGUAAUACGUAGGGUGCAAGCGUUAAUCGGAAUUACUGGGCGUAAAGCGUGCGCAGGCGGUUAUGUAAGUCAGAUGUGAAAUCCCCGGGCUCAACCUGGGAAUGGCAUUUGAGACUGCAUGGCUAGAGUGUGUCAGAGGGGGGUAGAAUUCCACGUGUAGCAGUGAAAUGCGUAGAUAUGUGGAGGAAUACCGAUGGCGAAG